GUCUGAUUUUUAUUUCCUAUUUGUGACUUUUCCUUUAUCCCUGAGUCCUACUCGUGUGUCUCCGUUGUCUUCCUCCGCCCGAUUUUCGUGACUAGUAUUAGCCCUUGGUUGUUUCUCUGUUCUUGGCUGUGCUUACGUUUCUGUAACUGAACUGUCAACGUUCGAUGUCCUUUUAUUCCCAGUCAUUACAGGUGAAGGAAUUGGGGAGGCUCAUCCCAGUUUCCACCUUCCUUCCCUGUUCUUUUCGUUGUAGCCGGUUCUGUUAUCUCACCCUUCCAUACUGUUUUUUAAUCUGCCUUUUCCGGUUCGACACGUUCAGUGCUCACCUGGGCCUGCAGCUGGGGCUGCCCAUCAGCACAGAUGUUCUCCAGCACGACUCUCAGGAAGAAGGGCUCGUGGGGACAACACUCCCUUCGGUCUUACCUGUUGGCUUCUUUGAAGUAAAGAAAAACUGAAGCGAAUGCAAGUUAUCUACCAGCCCUUCAAGCAAAACAAAACGGCUCGAAGACGCACCUUUCGCGCCACGAAAGGAGCCAAAGUGAAGAAUCCAAGGGGAGGAAGCCAGGAAGAGAAAAGUGAAACCAACAAGGCAAUAAUCUACAGCACAGACAACUGUGAUACAGGCACAUACACGGCGACGCAAACGUUAAAAAUACUUUUUUAGAUGAAACUUACAUAACCUAAAGGCUUUAUCAGUAACGGCGACACAAACGUUAAAAAUACUUUUUUAGAUAAAACUUACAUAACCUAAAGGCUUUAUCAGUAACGGCGACACAAACGUUAAAAAUAUUUUUUUAGGGGCGCCUGGGUGGCGCAGUCGGUUAAGCGUCCGACUUCAGCCAGGUCACGAUCUCGCGGUCGGUGAGUUCGAGCCCCGCGUCAGGCUCUGGGCUGAUGGCUCGGAGCCUGGAGCCUGUUUCCGAUUCUGUGUCUCCCUCUCUCUCUGGCCCUCCCCCGUUCAUGCUCUGUCUCUCUCUGUCCCGAAAAUAAAUAAAAACGUUGAAAAAAAAAUUUAAAAAAA
This 1021-nucleotide long non-coding RNA is filed under the name Felis catus (domestic cat). Its description in RNAcentral is "lncRNA (ENSFCAG00000051698.1)". The record is from RNAcentral. Lineage: Eukaryota; Metazoa; Chordata; Mammalia; Carnivora; Felidae.